Molecule: ribosomal RNA, 253 nt
Filed under: uncultured bacterium
Lineage: Bacteria
Description: partial 16S ribosomal RNA
Rfam family: Bacterial small subunit ribosomal RNA
Source: RNAcentral
UACGUAGGCAGCAAGCGUUGUUCGGAGUUACUGGGCGUAAAGAGUGCGUAGGCGGUGUCGAAAGUUUGGCGUGAAAUCUCCCGGCUUAACUGGGAGGGUGCGGUGGAAACUGUGGUGCUGGAGUGUGGGAGAGGUAGGCGGAAUUCCUGGUGUAGCGGUGAAAUGCGUAGAUAUCAGGAGGAACACCUGUGGUGUAGACGGCUUACUGGACCAUGACUGACGCUGAGGCACGAAAGCGUGGGGAGCAAACAGG